This 58-nucleotide ribosomal RNA is filed under the name Quercus suber. The record is from RNAcentral. Lineage: Eukaryota; Viridiplantae; Streptophyta; Magnoliopsida; Fagales; Fagaceae.
CUCCUGGGAAGUCCUCGUGUUGCACCCGGUGCGAUCAUACCAACACUAAUGCACCGGA